Molecule: ribosomal RNA, 227 nt
Filed under: Escherichia coli
Lineage: Bacteria; Pseudomonadati; Pseudomonadota; Gammaproteobacteria; Enterobacterales; Enterobacteriaceae
Description: partial 23S ribosomal RNA
Rfam family: Bacterial large subunit ribosomal RNA
Source: RNAcentral
CAGGUGGUCAGGUAGAGAAUACCAAGGCGCUUGAGAGAACUCGGGUGAAGGAACUAGGCAAAAUGGUGCCGUAACUUCGGGAGAAGGCACGCUGAUAUGUAGGUGAAGCGACUUGCUCGUGGAGCUGAAAUCAGUCGAAGAUACCAGCUGGCUGCAACUGUUUAUUAAAAACACAGCACUGUGCAAACACGAAAGUGGACGUAUACGGUGUGACGCCUGCCCGGUGC